Molecule: long non-coding RNA, 6148 nt
Organism: Capra hircus (goat)
Lineage: Eukaryota; Metazoa; Chordata; Mammalia; Artiodactyla; Bovidae
Exons: 2
Source: RefSeq, a predicted model, not a curated record
UGUCCCGGGGGGAGGGUGGGUUGGGAUUGGAUGAGUUCUGUCUUAGGAAUGCUGGGGGCCUGAGGGUCCCUGGGUCAGGGUUUCUGAAGGUCUCCAGUUCUGGGACGCUGGGUUUCAGCCCAGGACUCCCAGGGCCGCAGAAGCCAGGGGUGGAAUUUCCACAUGGGCCCUUGCCUGGUUCUGUCCGUGCCCGACCCACGAGGUCCACGGUUGGGCUUCAGCGCUCCUCUCUGAUCACGGCCUGUCUCAAGUGUGUGCUGCUCCGUUCCCUUUUCAGAGAAAGAACAGAUCUUGCCUGUUGACUUUGACCUUUUCAGGCACCCCUUGCACAAACCCUUCCCUUGAUGGUACCAGGAGCUGCACGUCUCCUUGGACUUCUGUAUGACUCCCGACUCAGGGAGGUUGGCCUUGGGGCUGGCCUGCCAGAGGGUGGAGGGCAGAGGCUGGGUCUCUGGGGCAGAUGGGCCAGAGGCCCUGCUGUGAUCUUGACUGUAAAUGGUGUGGAUAGCACAUGACUUGGAGCAGAUCACCCAUCAUUUGACAUAUCACUCAUCUUUAUUUCUCCCCUUCAGAUUCUGUUUAUAAGCACACUGUUUUUUUAAUGGACAUCUAAUUUUUUUAAAAUGAGCAUCCAUUUUUUAAACCUAAUUGCUAUUCUUCACCACAUACACUUUUUUUUUUUUUAAAUUUUUGCAUCCCACCUUUUCCAUAUUCCGCUGUCAACAUUUUUCUUUCUUCCAUAUACUUCAUCACCUCACUGGCUGCCUUGUGUCUCACUGAGUGGCCGUAUCAGUCAUUCACCACAUCAACCUGCAAUUAUCACUCUGGCUAUGCAUAAUUCAUCUUUUUUAAUGUUACAAAUUAUGCCACAGCUAAUAACUUAGCACACCCCCCUUUUUCAUUCUUAUGAAUUAUUUUUCCACACCUGGAAGUGAUCUUUGCUUUGUGGUAUGUCAAUUUCUCCUGCUAGGCUGUGAACCCUUGAGGGCAAGGAGCUUGUUGCAUUGAUCUUUGUAUCUCUAAUGCCUGAAAUGUUGUAGAUAUAAAUGUUAGAUGAGAGGAUAGGAGGAUGGAUGAAAGUGUGAGUGAGUGCCUGGUUGGCUGUUGGAGGAGAGGAUGGGAGAAUGGAUGAAUAAAUUGGAGUGGUGAAUGAACAAAUGAAUUUUCUGGUGUUGAGUUUCUUGAGGAAAGGCCAGGAAUUUUUGUAUGACUACUAAUUUCAGAAGGCUUGUACCAUUUUGUGAUGUCUAGUGAUGUAUUAGCAUUUUGUUAAGAUGUUGCUAAUUUAUCUCUGUUAAAAAGUGUUUUUCUGUCAUUUUAACUUGCACUGCUUUGAUGACUAAUGACGGUUGAACAUUUUACUGUGUUUGUUAAAAAAAAUUACAUCUUCUGUGAACUGUUUGUCCAAGUCCACUGGGUCAUGGCUUUGUGGUAAGACUGGCCAAGGGUGGAAUGAGGGUCCUUGGGAUGUAGUGAGCCCUUCAUCUCUGGGGUCAUUCAAGGGACAGGACAGGCAGAUACUCGAUGAGGGUAGCUUCAAGGAGAUUCAAUUAGUAGGAGUGGGGUUGGCCUAGAUGACCCUUCAGGUCUCUUUGACUCUUCCUGGAAAAUGCACAUUGGGAUGAUAUUCUCCCUUUGGCAGCCCAGUGACGUUUAAGGCUGCCUCUCCUGGGUGGGCUUGUGCAUUUAUGAUCUAUGAACUCUCAACUCACCCUCUGUAACUCUUGUGGUGCAAGAAUCUCUUUGACCCUCCAAGGUCCAGACAACUGUGCUGCCAUCUUGAAUGUUAGUUAAGUGGUGGCCUUCCUGCCUCCAUCCCCUGCCCCCAUUUCACUUUGAGGAAGACAACCCCUUGGAUCACCACUUGGCACCUCUCAGGGCAAUCAGCUGAGGCAAUCUGCUGCCCUUCAUGUUCCUAGUGCCCUCUGAUGUGUGAGCCAUUGUCCCGCUGGCCUCCAUGGUGGUCUUUGGGGUUUAAUUAAGUAUUUCAGAUCAGGUCAGAUAGUGAAUCUGCCUUCAGAAAUGGGGCAACUCAAUUCCACAAGCCAAAGAGUAGAAUGGCCCCCAUAUUCUCCUUGAGCUUCUUCCCUCAUGGUUCACCCCAGGGGUAACCAGGUCUCAGAAGUCAUCAUGGCCAUUUGGGAAGGGCACGUGACCCAAGAAGGCUUGCCCCUGCUUUCCAGGAUACCCUCUGCUUGCAGCCGAGGGCCGUGUCUUCCCACCGACCGUCUACUAUAGCACUGAGCGCUGUUUGCCCAUGUCAGAUUUCUCACCCACAUGUUUGGGAGGCCAGCGAUGAUUCCCAGCAUUCCUUGGAUCCAUCCAUCCAUCCAUCCAUCCAUCUAUCCAUUGCAUUUGGCCUCUCAACCUGGUGCUUUGGCCUUUCCCUUUCCUGAAAGCAAACCUUUUCCUUGUGGGCAGGCUGUGUAGCGCCAUGGGCUGUGGUUAUGAAGUGAACGCCCUUACUUGUGGCUUCUUCCUCCGGGGUCACUGCUCUGAGCAUGUCCCAGCUGGAUGUCGUCUGCCACAUCACCCACACGGCUUCCUUCCCCAUGGCGCGUUCCCAUGCGUCACACACUGCGAGGGAUCCAGGGCCCGGGGGCCCAGGGUGGCCCCCGUCCCCACCCGGGAGUGGAGAUGUCCCCGCCUCCCAGGCCACCUUGCCUGGUGCAUGGUCCCUGCCAUGAGCUUUGCCCUCAGCCUCUCCACUUCCUCUACCAGAUGACAGCGGUUGUAACUCAUCCUUUCAUCCCUUCAUUCACUCCACUCCCAGCCCGCAAACAUUCGAAAAGGUCAGCUGGUGCUAUACUAGAGCUGGGUCACAAGGUUGCAUUGCGACACCCCCUCUCGAAAGAAAAGAUGAGUGUGUUUGCUGGGGGCUAGUCACAAGGCGGGAUCCUUGAUUCAGCGUGCCCACCCCUCGGCCAAAGUUCUGUCGAAAUUUUGAUUGCCCUCUCCAACUUCGUUCCUCUGCAAACUGGGUUGAUUAGUAAUCAGCAAGCUGUGUUCCCUGGGUGCUCAGAAAUCAUAGCCCAGAGUCUCAAGAGGCCAGAAUGAUAGCUGGGAUGGGGAUGGGGGGGAUCUGAAACAAACAGCUGAUUCUGGCCGUGAGCAGGAUUUCGAGUCAUUAGGACAUCUUCAUCUUGCGCAAAGGGCGAGUUUCAGAGCCCUUCCUGUCCCUUGGAGAUUGGUUCAUUCUGGGCUCUAUUGAGAGAAAAUUGGGGGAGACGAUUGCUGGUUUGGAUGGUGAGGGUCAUGCCCCACCGUGAGGUCUGCACAGAACAAUCUAUUGGCACAACAGGGCAUCCGGGCUGCCUGACGCUUGGCAAACCCGAGAUGCAUCUGUGAUCCAGGUUCCCAGCCAGGUGGGGCUUCCCACCAUAGAUCUUGGGAGCUCUCCUGGGAAUUCUGCGUUUGACUUACUGCCUUGGACAGUGGGUGUAGUGGACAAAGCCAGGACCCUGGAGCUGGACAAGCAUGUGGUUUAGACUCACGGGCAUGGCCGAGUUCUGGCUGCUGGGCAGAACACGGCGCCCACCUCUCAGGGCUGUUGUGCGCAUCUGCUGUAACCGAGGUUUUGAACUGUGACCCUGUAGGGUGGUGCGCGUGCCCCCGGGAGUAGGCGGCGGGUGGCGGGGUGACAGGCCGGGAGGGGCAGCCUGAUUGGGACAGCUCAGUGGGCAGUCUUUCUAGCAAGCACACAGCGGGUAUUAUGGGAUCGAAUGCUGAAUUCGUAUGGCAUUUGAAAGGUAGGUAGGGGUAAUUUUGGGGUUGGGGUUAGGCUGGGGAAUGGGGAUCACUCUGGGCAAUGCCCUGGCCCCCUGGGGUACGCGUUCGCACCCACCUCUGGAACAGGUUGUAUCUUGCCUACCACUGUGUCUGGCCUGUGGGCGGCACUUACCCUCCACAAGUGACCCCUCCCAGCAGUAUCCUCCCUGUAAAAUAUUAGGCACCGGUUGUCAAAGACACUACGCCCCCAUCCCCCAACCCCCCACCGCCCAAUGUCCCCUCUCCCCCUUCUCAACAUUUGGGCUCAAGUGUCAGCUGCCUGGGUGCCUAACACAGUACCAGGCCAGUGGUAGGGGUCGCCUUCCAUUUCUGUCGGAAGGAUGGAUGAGUAGAUGGUUGAAUAACACAAUUGUAACCCAGUGUAAGCAGCGAUUGUAUAUAACCUUGACUAAGAGAUUGUCCUCCGCUCCUGAUUAACCUGUUAACCAGUUACUGUAUCUUAUGGACCUUUGUGUGAUAUAUGUUGCUCAGAAACCAGGACUCUGGUUUCAGAUGUCACUUGGUGGAACUUUCGCUGUCCGAUGAACGAGUCGAUGUUUUGUGUUAGAAACGAGAAUCUGGCUGAUAUGUAACUAACUGUGCACGGUCGGUCAAGGCACUUCUCUGUGACUAUCGGUCUUCUUUUGGUCUCCUUUUUUCUAAGCCGUGGGUCACCGGAAAGCUUACCUCACAGGGCUGUUGUGAGAGCUCAGGGUUGGGUGAACAUAAACAGCAUUCAUUAAAUGCUGGCCGUCACUGAAAGUGAUCAUGUGUUGGGGGCUGUCUGGAAGGGAGCAGGGAAGCUUUUGCUAGUUCUAAAUGAAUAAAAAGUUGGUCUUGACCUUAUAAUAAGAUUGUAUUUCCGACAGUCACUGGGACGUGUGAGACAGAGGUCAAGUAGCCUGAGAGUGUUCAGUGAUGCAGGUCCAGAGUAAAUAUUGCCUCAGUUAAUGAGUGAUGGCUUUUCUCCUUCCUUGGAGGCUCCUUUCCUCUCCCCGCCUCCCACCCUGGGCAGCUGUUUGUCACGCGCAGGUGACUGUUCCUGCCAGGUCUGUGGAGGGACUUUUGUGAGUCCCCCAAGGGUAUUUGUUAGGGGGGAGGAGCAAGGACCGUUUAGAGAGAGCCCAAGGAAGGGUUUCUGGGUAACAUCUUAGGGACUAAAACUCCCUCUUCUGCCAUUUAGGGAAAAGGCUCCUGCUCGAUUGUCAUGCGGGCCCAUUUAACAGAUGAGCGAAUUGUGUCCAAGCCAGGAUUGAACAGUCCUCCAUGAAAAGCCAGAGGGUGCUCUCUCAACUCAGUCAAAGCAAACCCUCCCAGUUCCACGGCUGGUCUCUGUCAGCCCAAAUGUGCCCCAGGGUGUCCCUGUCCCCACCACAUGCCUAGGAGUGCCCGUGUGGAGCUUCAGUGGGACCUGGAAACUUGGCCGAAUUAGAUAUUGCCCCUCUUCCUGCUUAGGAGACAUCCCCUUGGGGUCACUGUGGAUCCAGGGGUCUCCACGAGUGCACGGAAUUUCUUUCCUGGCCCUUGUCUCACAUGUGGAGAGCGGGGUUCUGCAGAACACCCCCAGAUUCCAUUCCAGGUGGGCUGGAGUCGGGGGUCUCCUCUGGCCCCUUCCCCUGCAGAAGCCUCCCUGACCCCUCAUUUGGCCUCUGGCUUUCACAGCCUCAGUGGGCUGUGUCCACACGUGGCCACCCUGUGUCCUUGAGAACUUUUCUGAAGCUCCCGAGGGGAUCCACGGGUAGAGACAGGUGGCUAGGGCCCUCCUCCCAGGGGACUGUGAGUCUGUGUGUAGGUGUCUGCUCCUGGACGGUCCUCGGGCCUGUGUGCCCAGGGGUGAGGAGUGUUUUCAGGGCCUCGUCCUCCUGAGCAGGGCAGGCCUGGGUCCCUGUCUCCAGAGGGUGGGGAGAAAGCUGAGGUUCAGUGAGGGUUAGGGUUUCGAGUCAGGGUCAGGGUCGUCAGUGAGGGUUAGGGUUUCGAGUCAGGGUCAGGGUCCUCAGUGAGGGUUAGGGUUUUGAGUCAGGGUCGGGGUUCUCAGAACCCCCUCCCUGACUCUGAGACUUAGACUUCUCUGACCCUGAUGGUCCUGCUUCCUGUGUAGUAGGCGCUUAAUAGAUGCUCACUGAUGGGCGAGCGGGGUUUUAGUGGAUGUGAAAAGCUGAACUGACUGUUGGCUGAUGGACAUAUUGACUCUGCAUGCAUCUCUGUAAGGAAAGAGGGUGUUUCUUGGCAAAGACUCUCCAGGGCAGACCCUGAGGGUCUCUGUCUGAAGUGGGGGCUCACCCUGGGGAAGCUUCUGGAUGCAAAUAGCUGUCUUCUGACUGUUUCUGGAAAUGUUUAUAUCUAGAAUAAAACUUUGUGUGGGCUAAAAAAUGUACUCCUA